CUGCUUUGGCAGAACGUGCACUAAUACUGGAUGACAGAAGAUUAGCAAGGCCGCUGUGCAAGGGUGGCAGGCGAAUCUGUGAAGUGUUCCAUAAUUUC
This 98-nucleotide small nuclear RNA is filed under the name Mus caroli (Ryukyu mouse). Lineage: Eukaryota; Metazoa; Chordata; Mammalia; Rodentia; Muridae. The record is from RNAcentral.